RNAcentral lists this ribosomal RNA (419 nucleotides) under bacterium. RNAcentral's name for it is "partial 16S ribosomal RNA". It matches the Rfam family "Bacterial small subunit ribosomal RNA", at positions 355 to 776 of the family's 1533-position model. The record is from RNAcentral.
UGGGGGAUAUUGCACAAUGGGCGAAAGCCUGAUGCAGCGACGCCGCGUGGGGGAUGAAGGCCUUCGGGUUGUAAACUUCUUUUGCUCUGAACAAGGCAUGCUAAUGGGUGUGUUGAGUGUAGGGGUUGAUUAGCGCCGGCUAACUACGUGCCAGCAGCCGCGGUAAUACGUAGGGCGCGAGCGUUGUCCGGAAUUAUUGGGCGUAAAGGGCUGGUAGGUGGCUGGGUGCGUCUGUCGUGAAAGCUCAUGGCUUAACUGUGGGUUUGCGGUGGGUACGGGCUGGCUUGAGUGCAGUAGGGGAGGCUGGAAUUCCUGGUGUAGCGGUGGAAUGCGCAGAUAUCAGGAGGAAUACCGGUGGCGAAGGCGGGUCUCUGGGCUGUUACUGACACUGAGGAGCGAAAGCAUGGGGAGCGAACAGG